Long non-coding RNA from Octopus sinensis (East Asian common octopus), 343 nucleotides. RefSeq lists it as uncharacterized. The transcript has 4 exons. The record is from RefSeq and is a predicted model, not a curated record. NCBI's taxonomy places the organism in Eukaryota, Metazoa, Mollusca, Cephalopoda, Octopoda, Octopodidae.
CUUUCUCGCCGAUCGCGACGAAUACAUUCGGCCUUCCGCAUUGGUCGCGGCGCAAAUAUUAGACUGAGACCGACGCGUACGGGCCGUCGUAGCAGCCGCCGCGCCUUCCGUGCGCGGGUCCUAGGCGUGCGGCGGCUUCACGCCCUUCGAUUUCGGUGACUCUGGAUAACUGUCAGUUCGAUCGCACGGGCUAGUAUCGCACUAGCCUUCGCGCGACGGGUCCCCCGCGAGUCCGCCCUAUCAACUGUCGACGGCCCGGUCAGUGCCGACCGUGGUGGCAACGGGUAACGGGGAAUCAGGGUUCGAUUCCGGAGAGGGAGCAUGCGAAACGGCUACCACAUCC